This is a long non-coding RNA of Populus nigra (black poplar), 924 nucleotides long. RefSeq lists it as uncharacterized. The record is from RefSeq and is a predicted model, not a curated record. The transcript is spliced from 3 exons. Lineage: Eukaryota; Viridiplantae; Streptophyta; Magnoliopsida; Malpighiales; Salicaceae.
AAAGUUACUUUUACAAGGUUAAUGCCAUUUCAGAUCCUCCUAUACCAGCUGCAACUGGCAAGCUGGAGAAGCUUCAGACGGUAGAUCACUCUAACCAUACAUUUUGUGGAGAAGCACCCUCUCCUUUGGGGCAUCUCAAGAACCUGAAUACCUACCGGGAGAGACUGGCACUUUUAGAGAACAUGUAGAAUCAGUUGCGAGGCUCAAGAACUGAAUCCGAAUUUUAAUCCCAACAGCUAUCUUUCAAUUUCCACUCAAGGCAAACUUGACAACAAUUGCCUACAUGAUUGGCGUUGGUGAUAAUCUGGCAUAGGAAUUAAAAUCUGCAUGCCUGUAACAUUAGUGGUUAUAUCUGGUGUAUUUGCCGGUACUAUCACUUAAAAUUGCUUCUGUUGGUGACAGAUUCCAGUUUGCAGUCCUGGCAAAUUUCAGGUCGCUCUUGCUUUUAGUUGGCUUAGUCAACUGCUAGUUUAUGAGUGGAAGUGAAUCAUCGUGUUCAAGUGAUUGUACCUAGAUAACCAGCAGCUGCAAAUAAAAGAAAAAAGAUAAUAGAAUGCAGCUUGAAGAGCAAAUGAAGCAGCAAAAGACAGGUUUGGAGGAGACCCAGGAGCGGACUCAUAAGAUCAGUGUCACCCUUUCCUUCAAUAGUGUCGAAGACCUACGAAAGGUUUCCUCUUUAAAUCAUAUUUUUACAUGCUUGAAUAUAUCCCUACUAAAAACUGUUUUGAUUAAUCAUGCUUGGAAGCUGAAACACUAUCUGGCAAUGGUUCUUUGUUAUUUGCACGUCGAAGUAAAUCCAUGGCGAUUUGGAAAUUCUCACUGCUUUCACUACUGAUUUGUUUCCAAGGUUAGGUUUGUGCUUUCUUGUACAUCUGUCACUUCAUAAUACUUAUAGUAUUUGUUAUUUUUUUUCUUUAUAGCUAU